RNAcentral lists this ribosomal RNA (523 nucleotides) under Calcidiscus leptoporus. Its description in RNAcentral is "partial Bacterial large subunit ribosomal RNA". It matches the Rfam family "Bacterial large subunit ribosomal RNA", at positions 23 to 621 of the family's 2925-position model. The record is from RNAcentral. Lineage: Eukaryota; Haptophyta; Coccolithales; Calcidiscaceae.
GGGGGAUGCCUUGGGUUUCAGAGGCGAUGAAGGACGUGACCAGCUGCGAUAAGCUGCGGGGAGCUGCUGAUAAGCUUUGAUCCGUAGAUUUCCGAAUGGGGCAACCCAUCCCGCUUGCGGGAUAUCCUUUCGAGGAGGCAUACCCGGGGAACUGAAACAUCUAAGUACCCUCAGGAAAAGAAAUCAAUUGAGAUUGCCUUAGUAGCGGCGAGCGAACGGGUAACAGCCGAUGAUUUAUGAUGUAGUGGAAUGUUCUGGGAAGGACAGCGAUACAGGGUGAUAGCCCCGUACACGAAGCAUUAUUUAUCACAUAUUAAGUAGGACGGGACACGUGUUAUCUUGUCUGAAGAUGGGGGGACCAUCCUCCAAGGCUAAAUACUCCUGACUGACCGAUAGUGAACCAGUACCGUGAGGGAAAGGUGAAAAGCACCCCGACGAGGGGAGUGAAACAGACCCUGAAACUGGACGCCUACAAGCAGUCGGAGGGCGAAAGCCUGACGGCGUACCUUUUGUAUAAUGGGUC